RNAcentral lists this ribosomal RNA (434 nucleotides) under uncultured Lachnospiraceae bacterium. Its description in RNAcentral is "partial 16S ribosomal RNA". It matches the Rfam family "Bacterial small subunit ribosomal RNA", at positions 341 to 792 of the family's 1533-position model. The record is from RNAcentral. Lineage: Bacteria; Bacillati; Bacillota; Clostridia; Lachnospirales; Lachnospiraceae.
ACGGAAGGCAGCAGUGGGGAAUAUUGCACAAUGGGGGAAACCCUGAUGCAGCGACGCCGCGUGAGUGAAGAAGUAUUUCGGUAUGUAAAGCUCUAUCAGCAGGAAAGAAAAUGACGGUACCUGACUAAGAAGCCCCGGCUAACUACGUGCCAGCAGCCGCGGUAAUACGUAGGGGGCAAGCGUUAUCCGGAUUUACUGGGUGUAAAGGGAGCGUAGACGGCUUUGCAAGUCUGAAGUGAAAGCCCGGGGCUCAACCCCGGAACUGCUUUGGAAACUGUUAAGCUAGAGUGCAGAAGAGGUAAGUGGAAUUCCUAGUGUAGCGGUGAAAUGCGUAGAUAUUAGGAGGAACACCAGUGGCGAAGGCGGCUUACUGGACUGUAACUGACGUUGAGGCUCGAAGGCGUGGGGAGCAAACAGGAUUAGAUACCCUGGUA